UACGGGGGGAGCAAGCGUUGUUCGGAUUUACUGGGCGUAAAGGGCGCGUAGGCGGCCACCGCAAGUCGGUUGUGAAAUCUCUGGGCUUAACCCAGAAAGGUCAACCGAUACUGCGGGGCUAGAGUGCAGAAGGGGCAACUGGAAUUCUCGGUGUAGCGGUGAAAUGCGUAGAUAUUGGGAGGAACACCAGUGGCGAAGGCGGCUCGCUGGACCGGUUCUGACGCUGAUGCGCGAAAGCGUGGGGAGCAAACGGG
This 254-nucleotide ribosomal RNA is filed under the name uncultured bacterium. RNAcentral's name for it is "partial 16S ribosomal RNA". It matches the Rfam family "Bacterial small subunit ribosomal RNA", at positions 524 to 776 of the family's 1533-position model. The record is from RNAcentral.